ACGAACGCUGGCGGCACGCUUAACACAUGCAAGUCGAACGAGAGAAGAGAAGCUUGCUUUUCUGAUCUAGUGGCGGACGGGUGAGUAACACGUGAGCAAUCUGCCUUUCAGAGGGGGAUACCGAUUGGAAACGAUCGUUAAUACCGCAUAAUAUAAUUGAACCGCAUGAUUUGAUUAUCAAAGAUUUAUCGCUGAAAGAUGAGCUCGCGUCUGAUUAGCUAGUUGGUAAGGUAACGGCUUACCAAGGCGACGAUCAGUAGCCGGACUGAGAGGUUGAUCGGCCACAUUGGGACUGAGACACGGCCCAGACUCCUACGGGAGGCAGCAGUGGGGAAUAUUGCACAAUGGAGGAAACUCUGAUGCAGCGAUGCCGCGUGAGGGAAGAAGGUUUUAGGAUUGUAAACCUCUGUCUUCAGGGACGAAAAAAGACGGUACCUGAGGAGGAAGCUCCGGCUAACUACGUGCCAGCAGCCGCGGUAAUACGUAGGGAGCGAGCGUUGUCCGGAAUUACUGGGUGUAAAGGGAGCGUAAGCGGGAUCGCAAGUCAGAUGUGAAAACUAUGGGCUUAACCCAUAAACUGCAUUUGAAACUGUGGUUCUUGAGUGAAGUAGAGGUAAGCGGGAUUCCUAGUGUAGCGGUGAAAUGCGUAGAUAUUAGGAGGAACAUCAGUGGCGAAGGCGGCUUACUGGGCUUUAACUGACGCUGAGGCUCGAAAGCGUGGGGAGCAAACAGGAUUAGAUACCCUGGUAGUCCACGCCGUAAACGAUGAUUACUAGGUGUGGGGGGACUGACCCCUUCCGUGCCGCAGCAAACGCAAUAAGUAAUCCACCUGGGGAGUACGACCGCAAGGUUGAAACUCAAAGGAAUUGACGGGGGCCCGCACAAGCAGUGGAGUAUGUGGAUUAAUUCGAAGCAACGCGAAGAACCUUACCAGGUCUUGACAUCGUAUGCAUAGCUCAGAGAUGAGUGAAAUCUCUUCGGAGACAUAUAGACAGGUGGUGCAUGGUUGUCGUCAGCUCGUGUCGUGAGAUGUUGGGUUAAGUCCCGCAACGAGCGCAACCCUUACUGUUAGUUGCUACGCAAGAGCACUCUAGCAGGACUGCCGUUGACAAAACGGAGGAAGGUGGGGAUGACGUCAAAUCAUCAUGCCCCUUAUGACCUGGGCCUCACACGUACUACAAUGGCUGUCAACAGAGGGAUGCAAAGCCGCGAGGUGGAGCGAACCCCUAAAAGCAGUCUUAGUUCGGAUUGUAGGCUGCAACCCGCCUACAUGAAGUCGGAAUUGCUAGUAAUCGCAGAUCAGCAUGCUGCGGUGAAUACGUUCCCGGGCCUUGUACACACCGCCCGUCACGCCAUGGGAGUCGGUAACACCCGAAGCCUGUAGUCUAACCGCAAGGAGGACGCAGUCGAAGGUGGGAUUGAUGACUGGGGUGAA
This 1435-nucleotide ribosomal RNA is filed under the name uncultured organism. RNAcentral's name for it is "SSU rRNA". It matches the Rfam family "Bacterial small subunit ribosomal RNA". The record is from RNAcentral.